AUCACUCCUGAGGAUGCAGAAUUCUAACCAGGGGCUACCAUGUCUGGUUUCCUGAGCGGUCCCAGCCCCCAGAAUCCAUAGAGACGCACAGUCCUUUUCCUCUUUUCCUUUUGGAAAUUAGAGAUGCUGCAAGGCCCUCCUCCUUCCCUCCAUCCCCUUUCACCACCCUCCUCUGCCCCUCCUACUUGGCCUGUCUGUAACAUCUUCCCUUUGCUUAAUUAAUGCCCAGUCCUGGGGCACUAACCCUUCUCUCCACCCUAUCUCUAACAAGAUUCCCAAGACCCGCCCCCCCCACCCCACCCCGUUGUUCCUUGUCCCUCCAGAGAAGGAAUCUAGGAGGGGAGGUCAUGGACCUUCCGCCCUCGGCCCAGAAGGAAGGCAGCCAACAGUACAGGGCCUGCAGGGUCCAUAGACCCAGGGCUGCCUACCUUAGCCCCCUCCCAGCCCUGGGGGCCAAGUGGACAGG
RNAcentral lists this long non-coding RNA (466 nucleotides) under Bos taurus (domestic cattle). RNAcentral describes it as "long non-coding RNA NONBTAT022977". The record is from RNAcentral. Lineage: Eukaryota; Metazoa; Chordata; Mammalia; Artiodactyla; Bovidae.